Molecule: unclassified non-coding RNA, 520 nt
Filed under: uncultured Glomus
Lineage: Eukaryota; Fungi; Glomeromycota; Glomeromycetes; Glomerales; Glomeraceae
Description: SSU rRNA
Rfam family: Eukaryotic small subunit ribosomal RNA
Source: RNAcentral
AGCAGCCGCGGUAAUUCCAGCUCCAAUAGCGUAUAUUAAAGUUGUUGCAGUUAAAAAGCUCGUAGUUGAAUUUCGGGAUCAAUUAAUUGGUCGUGCCUCUGGUACGUACUGAUUUUAUUGGUUUCUCCCUUCUGACGAACCAUGAUGUCAUUAAUUUGAUGUCGUGGAGAAUCAGGACUGUUACUUUGAAAAAAUUAGAGUGUUUAAAGCAAGCUAACGCUUGAAUACAUUAGCAUGGAAUAAUGAAAUAGGACGUUUGAUCCUAUUUUGUUGGUUUCUAGGAUCGACGUAAUGAUUAAUAGGGAUAGUUGGGGGCAUUAGUAUUCAAUUGUCAGAGGUGAAAAUUCGUUGGAUUUAUUGAAGACUAACUACUGCGAAAGCCUUUGCCAAGGAUGUUUUCAUUAAUCAAGACGAAAGUUAGGGGAUCGAAGACGAUCAGAUACCGUCGUAGUCUUAACCAUAAACUAUGCCGACUAGGGAUCGGAUGAUGUUAAUUUUUUAAUGUACUCAUUCGGCGUCC